GAUUAAGUUAUUAAGGGCGCACGGUGGAUGCCUUGGCACUAGAAGCCGAUGAAGGACGUUACUAACGACGAUAUGCUUUGGGGAGCUGUAAGUAAGCUUUGAUCCAGAGAUUUCCGAAUGGGGAAACCCAGCAUGAGUUAUGUCAUGUUAUCGAUAUGUGAAUACAUAGCAUAUCAGAAGGCACACCCGGAGAACUGAAACAUCUUAGUACCCGGAGGAAGAGAAAGAAAAUUCGAUUCCCUUAGUAGCGGCGAGCGAAACGGGAAGAGCCCAAACCAACAAGCUUGCUUGUUGGGGUUGUAGGACACUCUAUACGGAGUUACAAAGGACGACAUUAGACGAAUCAUCUGGAAAGAUGAAUCAAAGAAGGUAAUAAUCCUGUAGUCGAAAAUGUUGUCUCUCUUGAGUGGAUCCUGAGUAUGACGGAGCACGUGAAAUUCCGUCGGAAUCUGGGAGGACCAUCUCCUAAGGCUAAAUACUCUCUAGUGACCGAUAGUGAACCAGUACCGUGAGGGAAAGGUGAAAAGCACCCCGGAAGGGGAGUGAAAUAGAACCUGAAACCGUGUGCUUACAAGUAGUCAGAGCCCGUUAAUGGGUGAUGGCGUGCCUUUUGUAGAAUGAACCGGCGAGUUACGAUUUGAUGCAAGGUUAAGCAGUAAAUGUGGAGCCGUAGCGAAAGCGAGUCUGAAUAGGGCGUUUAGUAUUUGGUCGUAGACCCGAAACCAGGUGAUCUACCCUUGGUCAGGUUGAAGUUCAGGUAACACUGAAUGGAGGACCGAACCGACUUACGUUGAAAAGUGAGCGGAUGAACUGAGGGUAGCGGAGAAAUUCCAAUCGAACCUGGAGAUAGCUGGUUCUCUCCGAAAUAGCUUUAGGGCUAGCCUCAAGUGAUGAUUAUUGGAGGUAGAGCACUGUUUGGACGAGGGGCCCCUCUCGGGUUACCGAAUUCAGACAAACUCCGAAUGCCAAUUAAUUUAACUUGGGAGUCAGAACAUGGGUGAUAAGGUCCGUGUUCGAAAGGGAAACAGCCCAGACCACCAGCUAAGGUCCCAAAAUAUAUGUUAAGUGGAAAAGGAUGUGGCGUUGCCCAGACAACUAGGAUGUUGGCUUAGAAGCAGCCAUCAUUUAAAGAGUGCGUAAUAGCUCACUAGUCGAGUGACACUGCGCCGAAAAUGUACCGGGGCUAAACAUAUUACCGAAGCUGUGGAUUGUCCUUUGGACAAUGGUAGGAGAGCGUUCUAAGGGCGUUGAAGCAUGAUCGUAAGGACAUGUGGAGCGCUUAGAAGUGAGAAUGCCGGUGUGAGUAGCGAAAGACGGGUGAGAAUCCCGUCCACCGAUUGACUAAGGUUUCCAGAGGAAGGCUCGUCCGCUCUGGGUUAGUCGGGUCCUAAGCUGAGGCCGACAGGCGUAGGCGAUGGAUAACAGGUUGAUAUUCCUGUACCACCUAUAAUCGUUUUAAUCGAUGGGGGGACGCAGUAGGAUAGGCGAAGCGUGCGAUUGGAUUGCACGUCUAAGCAGUAAGGCUGAGUAUUAGGCAAAUCCGGUACUCGUUAAGGCUGAGCUGUGAUGGGGAGAAGACAUUGUGUCUUCGAGUCGUUGAUUUCACACUGCCGAGAAAAGCCUCUAGAUAGAAAAUAGGUGCCCGUACCGCAAACCGACACAGGUAGUCAAGAUGAGAAUUCUAAGGUGAGCGAGCGAACUCUCGUUAAGGAACUCGGCAAAAUGACCCCGUAACUUCGGGAGAAGGGGUGCUCUUUAGGGUUAACGCCCAGAAGAGCCGCAGUGAAUAGGCCCAAGCGACUGUUUAUCAAAAACACAGGUCUCUGCUAAACCGUAAGGUGAUGUAUAGGGGCUGACGCCUGCCCGGUGCUGGAAGGUUAAGAGGAGUGGUUAGCUUCUGCGAAGCUACGAAUCGAAGCCCCAGUAAACGGCGGCCGUAACUAUAACGGUCCUAAGGUAGCGAAAUUCCUUGUCGGGUAAGUUCCGACCCGCACGAAAGGCGUAACGAUUUGGGCACUGUCUCAACGAGAGACUCGGUGAAAUCAUAGUACCUGUGAAGAUGCAGGUUACCCGCGACAGGACGGAAAGACCCCGUGGAGCUUUACUGUAGCCUGAUAUUGAAAUUCGGCACAGCUUGUACAGGAUAGGUAGGAGCCUUUGAAACGUGAGCGCUAGCUUACGUGGAGGCGCUGGUGGGAUACUACCUUAGCUGUGUUGGCUUUCUAACCCGCACCACUUAUCGUGGUGGGAGACAGUGUCAGGCGGGCAGUUUGACUGGGGCGGUCGCCUCCUAAAAGGUAACGGAGGCGCUCAAAGGUUCCCUCAGAAUGGUUGGAAAUCAUUCAUAGAGUGUAAAGGCAUAAGGGAGCUUGACUGCGAGACCUACAAGUCGAGCAGGGUCGAAAGACGGACUUAGUGAUCCGGUGGUUCCGCAUGGAAGGGCCAUCGCUCAACGGAUAAAAGCUACCCCGGGGAUAACAGGCUUAUCUCCCCCAAGAGUUCACAUCGACGGGGAGGUUUGGCACCUCGAUGUCGGCUCAUCGCAUCCUGGGGCUGUAGUCGGUCCCAAGGGUUGGGCUGUUCGCCCAUUAAAGCGGUACGCGAGCUGGGUUCAGAACGUCGUGAGACAGUUCGGUCCCUAUCCGUCGUGGGCGUAGGAAAUUUGAGAGGAGCUGUCCUUAGUACGAGAGGACCGGGAUGGACAUACCUCUGGUGUACCAGUUGUCGUGCCAACGGCAUAGCUGGGUAGCUAUGUGUGGACGGGAUAAGUGCUGAAAGCAUCUAAGCAUGAAGCCCCCCUCAAGAUGAGAUUUCCCAACUUCGGUUAUAAGAUCCCUCAAAGAUGAUGAGGUUAAUAGGUUCGAGGUGGAAGCAUGGUGACAUGUGGAGCUGACGAAUACUAAUCGAUCGAAGACUUAAUCAA
Molecule: ribosomal RNA, 2923 nt
Filed under: Staphylococcus aureus
Lineage: Bacteria; Bacillati; Bacillota; Bacilli; Caryophanales; Staphylococcaceae
Description: 23S ribosomal RNA
Rfam family: Bacterial large subunit ribosomal RNA
Source: RNAcentral